GACGUAGGAUGCAAGCGUUGUCCGGAAUUAUUGGGCGUAAAGCGUACGUAGGCGGUUUCUUAAGUCUGGGGUUAAAGACCGAGGCUCAACCUCGGGAGUGCCCCGGAUACUGGGAGGCUGGAGGACGGCAGAGGAAAGUGGAAUUCCCAGUGUAGCGGUGAAAUGCGUAGAUAUUGGGAGGAACACCAGUGGCGAAAGCGACUUUCUGGGCCGUUCCUGACGCUGAGGUACGAAAGCGUGGGGAGCAAAC
RNAcentral lists this ribosomal RNA (250 nucleotides) under uncultured bacterium. RNAcentral describes it as "partial 16S ribosomal RNA". It matches the Rfam family "Bacterial small subunit ribosomal RNA", at positions 524 to 773 of the family's 1533-position model. The record is from RNAcentral.